This 781-nucleotide ribosomal RNA is filed under the name uncultured Neocallimastigales. RNAcentral describes it as "partial large subunit ribosomal RNA". It matches the Rfam family "Eukaryotic large subunit ribosomal RNA", at positions 23 to 646 of the family's 3401-position model. Lineage: Eukaryota; Fungi; Neocallimastigomycota; Neocallimastigomycetes; Neocallimastigales. The record is from RNAcentral.
UGAGACUCUGUGCGCGUGCAUAUCAAUAAGCGGAGGAAAAGAAACUAACUAAGGAUUCCCUCAGUAACGGCGAGUGAAGCGGGAAGAGCUCAAAUUUGAAAUCUUCAAGGGUUUACCUUUACGAAUUGUAGUUUAAAGAAGUGUUUUCUGUUGGAGUUUUGGUAAAAGUUCUUUGGAAUAGGACAUCAUAGAGGGUGAGAAUCCCGUAUUUGACCAGUUACUUUCCAGCUGUUGUGAUACACUUUCAAAGGAGUCGGAUUGUUUGGGAAUGCAGUCCAAGAUGGGUGGUAAAUUUCAUCUAAAGCUAAAUAUUGGCGAGAGACCGAUAGCGAACAAGUACCGUGAGGGAAAGAUGAAAAGAACUUUGAAAAGAGAGUUAAACAGUACGUGAAAUUGUCAAAAGGGAAGCGUUUGACACCAGUGUUGUUUUCUCGAAAAUCAAUUAAAAAUGAGUUGGAUUUUGUAUUGUUAAGACCUUAUCAGCUUACUGUACUUUUUUCUUGCUCUUUUUAAUGCACUUUUCGUUUAACAAGUCAACAUCAAUUUCUUUUGUUGUAAAAGGGUCAUUGGAAGGUGGCUUUCACUUCGGUGAAAGUGUUUAUAGCCUUUGGCUUCUACAAUCGGAGAGAUUGAGGUCUGCAGCGUAGAUCCUUCGGGGUUAGAUACGUAGAUGCUAAGUUAUAGUUUUUUAUAGACAACUUGUUGACUAUGAUUAAUCAUGUAGCUUACUCGUUUACGCUAUUUUACCUACGCUUAGGAUGUUGAUCUGUAGUGCGUGCGC